Molecule: long non-coding RNA, 1368 nt
Filed under: Gallus gallus (chicken)
Lineage: Eukaryota; Metazoa; Chordata; Aves; Galliformes; Phasianidae
Description: lncRNA (ENSGALG00010000122.1)
Source: RNAcentral
UGGCGGUGGCAGCAGCGCAGGACGCAGAGGAGGGUGAUGAGGUGAUGUGGUGAUGGCGGAUUGGGGGAUGUGGAGGGGGUGCUCCUGGGACAGCUCUGCAGCAGCAACUUGGUUCCUUUUCCAUUGUAGGAACUGCUUUUCCUUCAGCCUUGUUUUUCCCCUCUUGAUUCUCUCCCCAAAGGGGCCUGGAGUCUCAGGGCAGCAGUGGGCACAGACAGGCGUCUAGGGGCUCUUUCUGGGCCCCCACAGCCUUUUGGAGAAGAUUCUCCAUUUUCACCUGCCAGCUUUUGCUCAGCAUGGGCUUCAAACAUGAUUUGGGACCAGCAUUUGGUUUGGAAGCCUGCUCUCCAAGCCCAAGCUUCAUGCAGACCAAAAUGCUGGGGGUCAGCCCUGGGCCUUGGCAACCUCACAAACACCUUUGGAGAUGUUUCCCACACUGCUUUGUCCCCCGAGAUCUGUGGGGGGCACAGAAGGUCAUUUCCUCCUGCCCUUCCCAUGUCACUGGCUGUGAGGGCCUCCAUGGUGGGUCCAGUGCAAGUAAGUCUGGAAUUUCAAAAUUGGAGGGAAACAGACAUUUUAUGAUUUUUUUUUCCUACAUUCUUCCCCUUUUCCCAUCCCUUUGCAUGGGUUUGGAAAGUUCGGAGGAACAUGAAGGAUGUGUUACUUUUAUCCAUUACUUUGCCUCUGUAGGUGCAGCUUACGAGCUGAUCCAUGUUAUCAAAUCACCAAUUGAUUUCUUGGGUUUAAAAGACUGUUCCCCGAGAUUCAUUUUGCUGUGAGCAAAUGCAGCUGUAACGCCUUGCAUUUUGUUAGCCUGCUUCUUCUCAUGGUCCUUUUGACAGGAACAAUUCCACUGUGACUUUAGAAAAAGCACCACUUGGAAAUAUUUUAGUCUGAGAUAAGAGUAUACAGAUGGAUCUGUUCAUCCUGAAAGUGGCGGCUUUACAAACACAGAUGAUGUGUUUGGAAGGAGAAAGGAGUUCAGAGGAACAGGUUGAAAUGGGCUUGGCUUGUUCUGUGCACAUGGCCAGGAUCUCCUUUAAGGCAUUUGCAGGGGAGAAAUAGUAGAGUAGUGAUAGAUAUUCAGCUGGUUUGAAAUUCAGGCUGGAUGCACGUUCAUUGGAAUGGGUGAUUUUCAUACAUUUGAACAGCAGAAUCAAGGCAGCUCUAUCAGGUCUCCUCACUUAGACCUAUGGUGCAUAAUACUCUGUCAUUGUUUUUUCUUCCAGGGACCUAACACAAUUGUGAUCUGCAUGGUCAUCUUACUGAACAUUGGUCUGGCCAUCCUAUUUGUACAUUUUUUGACAUGAGGUCCCCCUCGGACAAGGCGUUGCUGCUCACUGAGACCAUGGACCUUGGUGGGGAUUU